GGGGGGGGGUUGACAAGACAAAACUAGCACAACUGUCCUCCAAUGAUUCUGGGGUAUGCCAAUCUUUAAGAACAAAUUCUUGGGUCUGUGUAUCAGUUCGUUUGGAUGUUGAUAACAUGACAGGUAGCAUCCAUACUUGUUUGAUAGAGUGGUCUGAUAUAACAGGAUUUGUCGAUCUUCAGGGUGCAUGAAUCAUAUUGAUAGAAAGAGUGUUCAGCUUGUACUGGACAAUAUUUGGAAUAAGCAUCUCAGACUGUUUGCAGUCGUAGUGUUCAGCAUUGUUCACUGCAGGUGUUUGUAUGAUCAUAGUUACUGCUUGCCAUGAGGAAGUGGCAAGAGUGUGGAAACAAUGCCUGCAUUUGACCUUACCUUAGUCACCGGGAAUGGGCAUCUCAGAUUGCUGUUUAGUCGCUGGUCAGACAAAUCAGUUUUGGAUUAUAGUGUCAAUUUGUACACGAUGCAUGACCUUACCAAAAUCAGUUUUGGUCUAUAGUGGCAAAUUUUAGAUUAUGACUUGUGCACCCUACAAAAUUCUUAAAAAUGAUGCAUGUAAAAUAUCGUACUGUAUAUGUCUCCCUUUCCUCUGCAACAGGAGUCCAAACUUACUUUCAGUGCUGUCAACUAUGCAAGCAUUUAGUAGAUGCAUUCCAUUAGCAACUUGCAUGGCCUGCAAGGAUACAUGCUCGACAAGCUUUUGAUCAGAUCCCCAAAAGUCGGUGCCCGUAAGUCGCAAGAACUUGAAAGAUUGUGCUUGCUCAGCAGCACAGGUGAUGUCCACUACAGGCCUACAGCCUUCGCUCCAAUUGCCAGGGUUGCUCAUCACAUAGCCCGGUGGGCAAGAGCAUGCAGGCGCAGGCAAGUAGUGGCAGAUCCCAUUUGGACGUACAAACCACGAAUAUUGCAAGGCUGAGACAUUGCAACCCAGGAAACCAACCAUCUCCCAUCUGAGCUGUUCAAGCUUUAGAGUCGGAGAUUACCAUCAGGAUCCAGAGUAAGCCUUCGUUUGAUCCCAAGACCUUCACCAGAAGCAACAAGUGCUUGCUGGUUGGCGAAAUCACUCGAAAUUUUUUUGCCGGUAUCAUCAACACCCCCAAGCCUUGUACUGUUAUUCCGAUUUCUGUUAUUCUGAUACUCUCCUAUGUCAAGGUCUGGCCAAUAUAUUUCAUGAACCUAAGCAUCGUUAUAUAUAAGCGACAGUAUAGAUGAAUCUGUGAAAUGAAAUAUGUAGUGACCUGGGGCAUGCAACCCAGUGCUGGAGACCAGCUUUGUAGUUGCAGUGAUGCGCUGGGUGGGAAGCAUAGUGUGUGUGGGUGAAUCAAAGCUCUGCCACACAAGCAUGCCACUGGAAUUCUUCAUGACAAGGUUUCCAGUGUCCAGGAGCUGAGCGUACUGCACGCCUGCCAAGUUUCCUUCUGCUUGCCACACCACCGUGCCAUCAUAGUCUGUGAGAACCAUGGUGCCGCCCUCCCGCAGGGUGACUGCCGACCCUCUGUCGUGCACAGGGCGGCCACGGUUUGCGGUCCAGACAAUGGUCUUGUCUUGUCCGUCGACCUCAGGAUGUUGGUUUCAUGCUUGUCGAUGGAGAGUGAGGAUCUCAGCGGUAAAAUGUCGUGAGAUGCGGCGAUCGAGAGGAGAGGAAGCAGUGGUAGGACCUGCAGGAUGGAAAAGAAGGUUGCCAUGACUGAACAAAUCGUUGAGCUGAUGAGCAGACUUCUUCUCAGGAUCUCCAAUGUCCAAACUGCGUUUCUCAAUUCUAUACAAGGCAAGUAUCCUUUCUCCUCAGGUUUGUCAUGGUUACUUUGGAGUUUAUGAUGUACUCUGUUAUUCUGUUAGCAGAUUUCAGCCUUGUUUUGAGUCGUAACCAUUAUAUUGCUAUGUAACCAUGUCUAGUGUACUUGAUGAAAACGAUGAGCCUAACAGGAGGUUGACUUCGAAAGGAGGAAAUAAGAGAGCUUAACUAUUGUUCCUGCUCCAAUUUUGACAGCUAUAGAUGUACAAGCUGCCAUCUUGGUAAAGUGCAUCAGUUGUAUGCCAUGACAGGCAACUGCUGGCUGGAUUGCAUGAAAAGCUCAAGGAAAGUCCGAAGGUAGUGACGCGUCUUGUAUGAGUCAGUCAAGAACAGUUACAUGUGGUUUUCUCUUCUCUUGUGCAUGUACAGUGGACUCAUGGUAACUCGAUACAAUCCAUGUGAAUUUUUCAAACGAAUUAAUUUCAGUUUGAAUCGUUGCAAUCUUGGUCGAGAAAUCUCUGGCUAACAUCAUAUUAUGGGACAGACUUUUGAGGCUACAUUAUCUUCUCCACGUUCUUUUUUUUUUUUAAACGAAGUUUGCAAAUAGU
Molecule: long non-coding RNA, 2337 nt
Organism: Phragmites australis (common reed)
Lineage: Eukaryota; Viridiplantae; Streptophyta; Magnoliopsida; Poales; Poaceae
Exons: 3
Source: RefSeq, a predicted model, not a curated record